GAUUAACGCUAGCGGCAGGCCUAAUACAUGCAAGUCGAACGGCAGCACGGGUAGCAAUACCUGGUGGCGAGUGGCGCACGGGUGCGUAACGCGUAUGCAACCUACCUAUAACCGGGGAAUAGCCUUCUGAAAGGAAGAUUAAUACCGCAUAAUAUCACUGGACGGCAUCGCCCGGUGAUCAAAACUCCGGUGGUUAUAGAUGGGCAUGCGUGACAUUAGCUAGUUGGUGAGGUAACCGCUCACCAAGGCUACGAUGUCUAGGGGGUCUGAGUGGAUGAUCCCCCACACUGGUACUGAGACACGGACCAGACUCCUACGGGAGGCAGCAGUAAGGAAUAUUGGACAAUGGGCGCAAGCCUGAUCCAGCCAUGCCGCGUGAAGGAUGACGGCCCUCUGGGUUGUAAACUUCUUUUAUACGGGAAUAAACCCCUCGAUUCUUCGGGGGCUGAAUGUACUGUAAGAAUAAGGAUCGGCUAACUUCGUGCCAGCAGCCGCGGUAA
Molecule: ribosomal RNA, 500 nt
Filed under: uncultured bacterium
Lineage: Bacteria
Description: partial 16S ribosomal RNA
Rfam family: Bacterial small subunit ribosomal RNA
Source: RNAcentral